This 504-nucleotide ribosomal RNA is filed under the name uncultured bacterium. RNAcentral describes it as "partial 16S ribosomal RNA". It matches the Rfam family "Bacterial small subunit ribosomal RNA", at positions 29 to 523 of the family's 1533-position model. The record is from RNAcentral.
AUUGAACGCUGGCGGCAGGCCUAACACAUGCAAGUCGAACGGUAGCACAGAGAGCUUGCUCUCGGGUGACGAGUGGCGGACGGGUGAGUAACGUCUGGGAAACUGCCCGAUGGAGGGGGAUAACUACUGGAAACGGUAGCUAAUACCGCAUAACGUCGCAAGACCAAAGUGGGGGACCUCCGGGCCUCACACCAUCGGAUGUGCCCAGAUGGGAUUAGCUAGUAGGUGGGGUAAUGGCUCACCUAGGCGACGAUCCCUAGCUGGUCUGAGAGGAUGACAAGCCACACUGGAACUGAGACACGGUCCAGACUCCUACGGGAGGCAGCAGUGGGGAAUAUUGCACAAUGGGCGCAAGCCUGAUGCAGCCAUGCCGCGUGUAUGAAGAAGGCCUUCGGGUUGUAAAGUACUUUCAGCGGGGAGGAAGGCGGUGAAGUUAAUAGCUUCACCGAUUGACGUUACCCGCAGAAGAAGCACCGGCUAACUCCGUGCCAGCAGCCGCAGUAA